This 446-nucleotide ribosomal RNA is filed under the name uncultured bacterium. RNAcentral's name for it is "partial 16S ribosomal RNA". It matches the Rfam family "Bacterial small subunit ribosomal RNA", at positions 338 to 795 of the family's 1533-position model. The record is from RNAcentral.
CCUACGGGCGGCAGCAGUCGAGAAUCAUUCACAAUGGGGGAAACCCUGAUGGUGCGACGCCGCGUGGGGGAAUGAAGGUCUUCGGAUUGUAAACCCCUGUCAUGUGGGAGCAAAUUAAAAAGAUAGUACCACAAGAGGAAGAGACGGCUAACUCUGUGCCAGCAGCCGCGGUAAUACAGAGGUCUCAAGCGUUGUUCGGAAUCACUGGGCGUAAAGCGUGCGUAGGCUGUUUCGUAAGUCGUGUGUGAAAGGCGCGGGCUCAACCCGCGGACGGCACAUGAUACUGCGAGACUAGAGUAAGGGAGAGGGAACCGGAAUUCUCGGUGUAGCAGUGAAAUGCGUAGAUAUCGAGAGGAACACUCGUGGCGAAGGCGGGUUCCUGGACAUUAACUGACGCUGAGGCACGAAGGCCAGGGGAGCGAAAGGGAUUAGAUACCCCAGUAGUC